RNAcentral lists this unclassified non-coding RNA (314 nucleotides) under uncultured Trichomeriaceae. Its description in RNAcentral is "sequence contains ITS1". The stretch from base 1 to 105 matches the Rfam family "5.8S ribosomal RNA", at positions 50 to 154 of the family's 154-position model. The record is from RNAcentral. Lineage: Eukaryota; Fungi; Ascomycota; Eurotiomycetes; Chaetothyriales.
GAAAUGCGAUAAGUAAUGUGAAUUGCAGAAUUCAGUGAAUCAUCGAAUCUUUGAACGCACAUUGCGCCCACUGGUAUUCCGGUGGGCAUGCCUGUUCGAGCGUCAUUAUCCUCCCUCAAACCCCGGGUUUGGUGUUGGACCCAAGUUGUGCAUCUGAACAACUGGUCUCAAAGACAAUGACGGCGUCCGUGGGACCCUCGGUGCAACGAGCUUCUAGGAGCACGCGUCGAGUUUCAAGGUCCUUCCGGGCCGGUCUCCUUUUUACUUUUUACAAGGUUGACCUCGGAUCAGGUAGGAAUACCCGCUGAACUUAA